This is a long non-coding RNA of Hypanus sabinus (Atlantic stingray), 1235 nucleotides long. RefSeq lists it as uncharacterized. The transcript is spliced from 3 exons. The record is from RefSeq and is a predicted model, not a curated record. NCBI's taxonomy places the organism in Eukaryota, Metazoa, Chordata, Chondrichthyes, Myliobatiformes, Dasyatidae.
GGCCGAACCAAGUUUCAGGUUGGCACGAGGAAAACACAGAGCACCUGUGGCCGACAAUAAACUGGCAGCUUCACUUGGACCAGAAGGGCACCUGAUAUUCCAGCAUUUGCCAUCGCUUCCGAUUCCACAACACCUGAAGAACUGAACAGGUCAAGCAGCAUCUGUGGAGGCAACAGGUAUCAGAUGACAUUUCAAAUUGAGAAACCUGCACUGGGAUUAGUCAUAGAGUCCAUAAAUUUAUGACAGCACAGAAACGUAUGCUUCAGUCCAUCUAGUCUGUGCCAAACACUGUCCCCUCUUAGCUGAGUGGGUGCACUCCUGCUCACGUAGCCUUUGUGGCUGCACAGCUGAAACGUUCUUUUAUAUCAUGUUAAUAUAAUUUUGGAAUUUUAUUAGUACUAUUUUGAAAUUGUGCUGCUGUAAUUUUGAAAUCUAUGCUAAUGCAACUGUGAAGUACCCAGCGAUUAAUUAUGUGUUAAUGAAUAUAACGCAUUAAUGUUCUAAAUGAUAAAUGUACUACAAUCUUUACUUUGAAACAUUUUAGAGGUUCAACAAAUUUGCAUUGUCAGUGAUUCAAGUUACAAAACGGUUGCAAGUUGUAACAAUAAACACAAUAUGGAAGUUGAAAGCUCGUUGUUCAUAAACAGCUGGCCCGUUGAGCGCCAAUACCUUCUAGUCAAAAUAUUUUACUUUUGCCAUUGUGCCUUUCAGUUGUUCUGACUGUCUAACAUUGUUCUCUUGUGCUGUGAGUUGUGGUUUGUGGUUGUUUGAUGUGAAAAAUUCUAUAUUCUGACAUUUCUGGUAAGUAAUCUUUCAAAAAAAGUAUGAUCUAAUAGGAAUUUUUAAAUUAAAAAGUUGAGAAUAAGAUAAAAGUUUGUUUAUAUAAAAUUGUUUGCAUGACUAUUUGCACAAAAGCAUUGCAUCAAAAAUAUCACAGCAGUACUUUGAUUUCAAAUUUGUUUUUUCUGAGAAAGUUAAGACUGGGUCAACUAAGCCAGUCACAGACAUGUUGAACUAUGUGCUUAGAAAUGAAGAAUUUGAAGAACUGUCAAUUCUUGUUGAUGUUGCUGGAAGUUUUCAAGCUUCUCAUGCUGACUGCUGAUUUAAUUCCAAAGACUGUGGAUUCAGUCUUAGGAAUUAAAUGAAAUGCAAAUCCAGAAACAGACUAGAAGUGGAACAUUUUGGAUGAUCUAAUGUGAAUUAAAAUGCAUCUUUCAUCUGAAUGCAGAAUUAAU